RNAcentral lists this ribosomal RNA (253 nucleotides) under uncultured bacterium. RNAcentral's name for it is "partial 16S ribosomal RNA". It matches the Rfam family "Bacterial small subunit ribosomal RNA", at positions 524 to 776 of the family's 1533-position model. The record is from RNAcentral.
UACAGAGGUCUCAAGCGUUGUUCGGAUUCAUUGGGCGUAAAGGGUGCGUAGGCGGCGCGGUAAGUCGGGUGUGAAAUCUCGGAGCUUAACUCCGAAACUGCAUUCGAUACUGCCGUGCUUGAGGACUGGAGAGGAGACUGGAAUUUACGGUGUAGCGGUGAAAUGCGUAGAUAUCGGGAGGAACACCGGUGGCGAAGGCGGCGAUCUGGGUAGAUACUGACGCUGAGGUGCGAAAGCGUGGGGAGCAAACAGG